This 409-nucleotide ribosomal RNA is filed under the name uncultured bacterium. Its description in RNAcentral is "bacterial SSU rRNA". It matches the Rfam family "Bacterial small subunit ribosomal RNA", at positions 370 to 772 of the family's 1533-position model. The record is from RNAcentral.
AAUGGGCGCAAGCCUGAUCCAGCCACGCCGCGUGAGUGAUGAAGGCCUUCGGGUCGUAAAGCUCUGUGGGGAGGGACGAACCGCUGCCGGCUAAUACCCGGCAGCAUGACGGUACCUCCUUAGCAAGCACCGGCUAACUUCGUGCCAGCAGCCGCGGUAAUACGAAGGGUGCAAACGUUGCUCGGAAUUAUUGGGCGUAAAGCGCACGUAGGCGGCUUAGCAAGUCGGAAGUGAAAUCCCUCGGCUCAACCAAGGAAGUGCUUUCGAAACUGCUGAGCUUGAGUACUUAAGAGGAUCGCGGAAUUCCCGGUGUAGAGGUGAAAUUCGUAGAUAUCGGGAGGAACACCAGUGGCGAAGGCGGCGAUCUGGGAAGAUACUGACGCUGAGGUGCGAAAGCGUGGGGAGCAAA